GUAACCAGAGAGUCGCCUGUGAAUCCGGAGAGGGGUGACAUGACUCACUUCGUUGCGCAGAUCAUGUCAACGGCUGGACAGACUGGCCUUGCUGUGAGAGUUGUCAGGUGGCAGAUACACAGUGUGUGCGCUUAAGGAUGGGGAAAAGCAGAAAGAGCUGUGUAGCAGUGAAGCCUUGUAGCAUGGAAUUGGUUGGGCUCUGCAUAUGCACUUGAGGAAAGCUGCACAAGAACAGCCAGGUCAGGGUCUUCAGAACUUCUGCUUUCAUUGGCUGCACCAAGGAAAUCUUGAAUUAUACCCUGCUUGGAUACCAGUCACCCUGUGCCAUUGAAUUCAUUGGGAGUUUUACCCAUGAGGUCCCAAGAAGAUACCCUGAAUAUAUCACAACUCAAAACAAGCAAUGAUUUAAGUGUCAGUCUCCUCCGGUUAAUGAGAAGUGGAUACUCCAGAGUAAUGCUCUCAGCACUGUCUCCUUCAUUCACCACCACCCUAAAAGGUUGUAUUGCCACCUUCACAAUUCAUUUCCCAGCUAAGCUCAUAUGCAUGUCUUGGAUGUCAGCGUUUGGAAAGCAGUAGACUUCUGCCAACUUGUUUUGGCAGAAGAAUGUUGAGCUAGGUCUCAUUCAGAAAAAUUGGACUCUUAUCUAAACGCCAUUAAAGUAACAAGAAAACAAGAAUAGCUAAAAUACGCAAUCCUGAAAUCUAGAGAUGAAAUAAAAAUAGAGUAGGGCUCCCA
This 736-nucleotide long non-coding RNA is filed under the name Struthio camelus australis. RNAcentral's name for it is "lncRNA (ENSSCUG00000003602.1)". The record is from RNAcentral. Lineage: Eukaryota; Metazoa; Chordata; Aves; Struthioniformes; Struthionidae.